GGGGUGUAUUUAUGCAAAGGAUGUUUAACAUUAAACGUUAUUGUUUUUGUUAUGCACUGGGCCUGCGUAUUCUUUACCUUAUAUUAUGGCUCUAGUAAGGGUGGUUGCAGACUAGCGUUUUAUACGCACCUAUAAAGUCGUUUUAGAAAUGCUAGUCUGAAACGCCCUAAGGCGUGUAACAAGGUAUCCCAUGCUAAGACCACAAAAAACGCUACAAACUUUGGCUCCGGAAACCCAAACACAAACAAUUAUCCCAUUGCCAAACUAACCAUUUUUUACUUUUUCAGAAUAUGACUACAUAUGCCAGAACUACUUUCCAUGGUUUAAUUCAAAAUAUAUUUUACAAACGAGAGCCUGCUACUGGGUUUCGAACUACAAAGAAAAUUUUGAGAGCGCAAGAAAAAAAUGCGAAUCUAUGGAUUCAAGACUGAUAGUCUUCGAAAACGCGUUUGAGUUUGAACUCAUAGUGAAGUAUGUCAAAAGUGUCAUAGACAAGAAUGAUUAUAUUCUUUUCGGCUAUAAAAAAAAGAACAACAAGUUUCGAGAAUAUUAUACAGAUAGAACUGAGGAUGAUAUAAAGUACACAUUAAAAAGGCAUCCAGAGAGUGAACGUUGGACACGCUGGCUUGGCGCUGAACGUGACGCAUACUGUAUGGUCGGCGUUCUGUAUCACAACCUCGAAGCUAUAAGCGCGGGCUGUGAACAAUAUUAUUUCUACUUUAUUUGCAAGCGUACUUUAUAUGCGUCUAAUUAAGGUGUAUGAUUUGCAUCACAACCUAUUCCGAAUUUAAAAAAAAAUUACUCACUUUGUAUGUGAAAAAAAUGUGAUUUCACGAUUAACUUGAGACACCUAAUAUAAUGAUAUCAUUA
This is a long non-coding RNA of Cydia pomonella (codling moth), 870 nucleotides long. RefSeq lists it as uncharacterized. NCBI's taxonomy places the organism in Eukaryota, Metazoa, Arthropoda, Insecta, Lepidoptera, Tortricidae. The record is from RefSeq and is a predicted model, not a curated record. The transcript is spliced from 3 exons.